RNAcentral lists this ribosomal RNA (162 nucleotides) under Klebsiella pneumoniae. Its description in RNAcentral is "partial 16S ribosomal RNA". It matches the Rfam family "Bacterial small subunit ribosomal RNA", at positions 1 to 154 of the family's 1533-position model. Lineage: Bacteria; Pseudomonadati; Pseudomonadota; Gammaproteobacteria; Enterobacterales; Enterobacteriaceae. The record is from RNAcentral.
ACUUAAAUUGAAGAGUUUGAUCAUGGCUCAGAUUGAACGCUGGCGGCAGGCCUAACACAUGCAAGUCGAGCGGUAGCACAGAGAGCUUGCUCUCGGGUGACGAGCGGCGGACGGGUGAGUAAUGUCUGGGAAACUGCCUGAUGGAGGGGGAUAACUACUGGA